GCCGACAUAGCUCAGCGGUAGAGCAACUGUUUUGUAAACAGUAGGUCGGGGGUUCAAAUCCCUCUGUCGGCU
RNAcentral lists this transfer RNA (72 nucleotides) under Patescibacteria group bacterium. RNAcentral's name for it is "tRNA-Thr". It matches the Rfam family "tRNA". From Rfam's summary of the family: Transfer RNA (tRNA) molecules are approximately 80 nucleotides in length. The record is from RNAcentral. RNAcentral also lists the same sequence under 1 other name.